RNAcentral lists this ribosomal RNA (239 nucleotides) under uncultured bacterium. RNAcentral's name for it is "partial 16S ribosomal RNA". It matches the Rfam family "Bacterial small subunit ribosomal RNA", at positions 92 to 334 of the family's 1533-position model. The record is from RNAcentral.
CGAGUGGCGGACGGGUGAGUAAUGUCUGGGAAACUGCCUGAUGGAGGGGGAUAACUACUGGAAACGGUAGCUAAUACCGCAUAACGUCGCAAGACCAAAGAGGGGGACCUUCGGGCCUCUUGCCAUCGGAUGUGCCCAGAUGGGAUUAGCUAGUAGGUGGGGUAACGGCUCACCAAGGCGACGAUCCAUAGCCGACCUGAGAGGGUGACCGGCCACAUUGGGACUGAGACACGGCCCAA